GCAGAUCCUGACGUUCUUCCUACGAGAUUCUCUUUUUGAUCUGCUUGUUGUCAAACGGAGUGAUUAGCUUACGAAAUUAUCCGCUCUGGCGUUGUGCCUUCAGGUAGCAAAGGCAUUACGGCUGUACACUUCGCAUUUUCUGAAUGUCUCCGGCUCAUCUUCCUCCUCCACUACCACCACUGGAGCUUUCGGGGGGGUAACACUUGAGUUUAGGAGAUGUGUGAACAAGGAAUCCAUACUGCAAGAAGCACAGCAGAUCUGAAACAUCCAAGUAAUGCAGAGAAAAUAAUUACAUUGCAAGGUAGGAGAUAAGCAAGCUUCAGGACUUAAAAGAGAAGGGCAUAUUCUGAGCUGGUGUAAAUUACAAGUUUCACUGAAACAGGGAAGAGGCUGGUGCUGCAGAAAUGGUGGGUUGUUUUUACGUUGCUGUAAUCUGAAACUGUGGCCCCUUCUUCUAGAUAGUGAGUAUGAAGUAAAGGCCUGGACUGCUUUGGCCUGGUGGGGGAAUGAUGCCAGGGAGCAGCAGCUGUGCUUUGGGAGGGAGUACCAACGUGAGUUUUUCCCAUCUGGUGAAACCUGGCAAACAAGCUUGUAAAACUGGGGACUGGAGUGAUGGUUUUGCUUAGGAAAGACCUUGUUGCUGUAUUGCCUCUAUGGAGCCAGUCAUGCAUGUUUUUCUUUUGCUGCAAUUAACUGCAUUUAUUCUGGAAGUUUUCCUAUCAAGAAUAAACUCAGUAUUAAACUCA
Long non-coding RNA from Neopsephotus bourkii (Bourke's parrot), 746 nucleotides. RefSeq lists it as uncharacterized. NCBI's taxonomy places the organism in Eukaryota, Metazoa, Chordata, Aves, Psittaciformes, Psittacidae. The record is from RefSeq and is a predicted model, not a curated record. The transcript has 2 exons.